Equus caballus (horse) is the source of this 718-nucleotide long non-coding RNA. NCBI's taxonomy places the organism in Eukaryota, Metazoa, Chordata, Mammalia, Perissodactyla, Equidae. The record is from Ensembl.
GAACUAUUCUGUCAUGAUAGACAUCAGAAUAUAGUUACCUUGGCGACUGGCUAGUGAGGGACACGAGGAAGUGUUCCGGCGGAUGGAAAUGUCUGUAUGUUUCUUGACCUGGGUGGAGGUUACAUGAACAUAUACACAAGAAAAAAUUCAUUAUGCAUCUUACUGAUGAGGGAAACUGGCGGUGUAGCCAAAAGAGGUUGGAAGUGACACUGCCCGCUGCAUCGCGAGUUCCAGAUUCCCUUCUCGGGUCCUGUGUUAUUUGUCAUUCUUGAGAGAUGCCAGGCAAGAGCAGAGAACAAGAGAACAAGUUUGUGAACUUCUUGUCACCAACAGACAACUGAGACCCAAACAAAUGUCAGUGUUACUCUGAGAAGAAAAUAAUGGAGUGAUCCCCAAGAAAAAAAGCUCUGCAUAAUAUCAUAGCUUCUGAGGUUUGGAAAAUGUCCCUGGUGUCUGGAAAAAAAUGGAGAGAAUCACUUUACUCUUUCAGAUUAACUGGCAUUUCCAUCACCUCCAAAGCCGUUAGUGUUUAUAAAUACAUUAAUAAAAGAUUCUGAAACUCCCUUGGUGAAAGGUGAGUGUGGGUUCACAAUCCAAGAAGGCUGCACUUAAGAAGGAUUUUAACAGUAAGAAGUAGUAAGUGCCUUCUCGGUAACCUACGUGAGCCUGUCAACAGACUGCUUUCAUUUCAUUUCACAUCCUUUCCACUUGAGCAACA